GUGCUCUCUUCAGCAGCACAUAUUCUAAAUUUGGAAACAAUACAAAGAUUAGCAUGGCCCCUGUGUAAGGAUGACACAAAAAUCUGUGAAGCAUUCCAUAUACUU
This is a small nuclear RNA of Meriones unguiculatus (Mongolian gerbil), 105 nucleotides long. The record is from Ensembl. NCBI's taxonomy places the organism in Eukaryota, Metazoa, Chordata, Mammalia, Rodentia, Muridae.